Molecule: ribosomal RNA, 460 nt
Filed under: uncultured bacterium
Lineage: Bacteria
Description: partial 16S ribosomal RNA
Rfam family: Bacterial small subunit ribosomal RNA
Source: RNAcentral
CCUACGUGAGGCAGCAGUGAGGAAUAUUGGUCAAUGGGCGCGAGCCUGAACCAGCCAAGUAGCGUGAAGGAUGACUGCCCUACGGGUUGUAAACUUCUUUUAUAAAGGAAUAAAGUGAGGCACGUGUGCCUUUUUGUAUAUACUUUAUGAAUAAGGAUCGGCUAACUCCGUGCCAGCAGCCGCGGUAAUACGGAGGAUCCGAGCGUUAUCCGGAUUUAUUGGGUUUAAAGGGAGCGUAGAUGAGUUGUUAAGUCAGUUGUGAAAGUUUGCGGCUCAACCGUAAAAUUGCAAUUGAUACUGGCAGUCUUGAGUACAGUUGAGGUAGGCGGAAUUCGUGGUGUAGCGGUGAAAUGCUUAGAUAUCACGAAGAACUCCGAUUGCGAAGGCAGCUUACUAAACUGCCACUGACAUUGAUGCUCGAAAGUGUGGGUAUCAAACAGGAUUAGAUACCCGAGUAGUC